GACGAACGCGGCGGCGUGCCUAAUACAUGCAAGUCGAGCGAAGUUUUUCUGGUGCUUGCACCGGAAAAACUUAGCGGCGAACGGGUGAGUAACACGUAAAGAACCUGCCUCAUAGACUGGGACAACUAUUGGAAACGAUAGCUAAUACCGGAUAACAGCAUAACUGCAUGGUUGAUGUUUAAAAGUUGGUUAUGCUAACACUAUGAGAUGGCUUUGCGGUGCAUUAGCUAGUUGGUGGGGUAAAGGCCUACCAAGGCGACGAUGCAUAGCCGACCUGAGAGGGUGAUCGGCCACACUGGGACUGAGACACGGCCCAGACUCCUACGGGAGGCAGCAGUAGGGAAUCUUCCGCAAUGGGCGAAAGCCUGACGGAGCAACGCCGCGUGAGUGAAGAAGGAUUUCGGUUCGUAAAGCUCUGUUGUUAGGGAAGAAUGAUUGUGUAGUAAACUAUACACAG
This 457-nucleotide ribosomal RNA is filed under the name Gemella haemolysans. RNAcentral's name for it is "bacterial SSU rRNA". It matches the Rfam family "Bacterial small subunit ribosomal RNA", at positions 28 to 475 of the family's 1533-position model. Lineage: Bacteria; Bacillati; Bacillota; Bacilli; Caryophanales; Gemellaceae. The record is from RNAcentral.